GGACGCAAGUCUGAUGGAGCAACGCCGCGUGAGUGAAGAAGGCUUUCGGGUCGUAAAACUCUGUUGUUGGAGAAGAAUGGUCGGCAGAGUAACUGUUGUCGGCGUGACGGUAUCCAACCAGAAAGCCACGGCUAACUACGUGCCAGCAGCCGCGGUAAUACGUAGGUGGCAAGCGUUAUCCGGAUUUAUUGGGCGUAAAGCGAGCGCAGGCGGUUUUUUAAGUCUGAUGUGAAAGCCCUCGGCUUAACCGAGGAAGUGCAUCGGAAACUGGGAAACUUGAGUGCAGAAGAGGACAGUGGAACUCCAUGUGUAGCGGUGAAAUGCGUAGAUAUAUGGAAGAACACCAGUGGCGAAGGCGGCUGUCUGGUCUGUAACUGACGCUGAGGCUCGAAAGCAUGGGUAGCGAACAGGAUUAGAUACCCUGGUAGUCCAUGCCGUAAACGAUGAAUGCUAGGUGUUGGAGGGUUUCCGCCCUUCAGUGCCGCAGCUAACGCAUUAAGCAUUCCGCCUGGGGAGUACGACCGCAAGGUUGAAACUCAAAGGAAUUGACGGGGGCCCGCACAAGCGGUGGAGCAUGUGGUUUAAUUCGAAGCAACGCGAAGAACCUUACCAGGUCUUGACAUCUUU
RNAcentral lists this ribosomal RNA (627 nucleotides) under Lacticaseibacillus rhamnosus. RNAcentral's name for it is "bacterial SSU rRNA". It matches the Rfam family "Bacterial small subunit ribosomal RNA", at positions 373 to 991 of the family's 1533-position model. Lineage: Bacteria; Bacillati; Bacillota; Bacilli; Lactobacillales; Lactobacillaceae. The record is from RNAcentral.